Cinara cedri is the source of this 218-nucleotide non-coding RNA. Lineage: Eukaryota; Metazoa; Arthropoda; Insecta; Hemiptera; Aphididae. The record is from the annotation of a GenBank genome assembly.
CAUCAAUUUUCCCUGCCGCUUUCAAACUUCUAUAGAUUUUAGCAACUUUCCCAAUUACAACUGCUAGCAAUGAACGAUCUUUUUCAACAUUAAAAAGAUUGAAAACAUAUUUGUUAAACACCACGUAUGAAAAUAGGUUGAAUAGUUUGGCAAUGAUGAAUAUACAUAGUGAUAUAAUGAUAGACCCUGAUGAUGUCUUAAAUAAAUUAGCGACCAGA